RNAcentral lists this ribosomal RNA (228 nucleotides) under uncultured bacterium. Its description in RNAcentral is "partial 16S ribosomal RNA". It matches the Rfam family "Bacterial small subunit ribosomal RNA", at positions 111 to 334 of the family's 1533-position model. The record is from RNAcentral.
UAACGCGUAGGUAACCUGCCUGGUAGCGGGGGGAAACUAUUGGAAACGAUAGCUAAUACCGCAUGACAACAGUUAUUGCAUGAUAACUGUUUAAAGGGGGCAAUUGCUCCACUACCAGAUGGACCUGCGUUGUAUUAGCUAGUUGGUGAGGUAACGGCUCACCAAGGCGACGAUACAUAGCCGACCUGAGAGGGUGAUCGGCCACACUGGGACUGAGACACGGCCCAG